ACGAUAUCUUCCAUUUCUCUA
Molecule: small nuclear RNA, 21 nt
Filed under: Arabidopsis thaliana (thale cress)
Lineage: Eukaryota; Viridiplantae; Streptophyta; Magnoliopsida; Brassicales; Brassicaceae
Description: snRNA_11639
Source: RNAcentral